GCCACACAAGUUUCUCGAACUGAUCAUCAUAAGCUAGAGGAAUAUCGCCAGUUAACGAUGCCAAGGCCUUUGAGCGCCUAGAGACUGUAGCCGUAGCGUAAUCCGCGAGAUCUUUACGAAGGUACUUGGCGAGAGCACGGUGGCAAGCCUUCUCCGUGAGACUUCGUUUCUUGGAGCUGCUGUUACCGACUCCAGAGGCGUGCUGAAGGAUGUCGAUGUAGAGACCAACCUUCUGCUUGGGGCAGUAAGGACAGAGGAAAGUGCGGUAGGAGACUCUGACCUCGAGCUUUCCGCUCUUGAGCUUUUUGUACAGAUUGUUUUCAUAAUCUGUCAUAUUGUUGCUCUUCAUCACCAUCUUGUUGUUGUUGCAUUAUUGUUUAUGCAUCAAAGGAACUGCAUAAAGGGAGCACAUUGUUAAAAAAAAAAGUUACAUAGUUGGAUCAAGUUUAAACCUUUUUCAUGAUAAAAUGUUACAGCGUUACAACAGAACACAGUCCUACAGUUAAUUGUUUCAUUGUCUCUCUAAGUUCUAUGAAAAACAGCAUGCAUGUUUUGGUUUUCUGGAGAAAUGAUGAAACAUUGGGAUCUAGAGUUCAUCGAAUUGUGAAACCCUAAAAGUCAAAGGAAAAACGUCGGCAUCAAUCAAUCAAUCAAUUAACACAGAAGAGAAUUGGGGGAAGAAAAGAUGAAUGUCAAAUCAAUCAAUGAAGACGUAAGAUCGUUACCUGAUAAAGAGAGAUUGCUCUCUCUCGAGAGACUUCAGCAGAUUCUGGAGAUCACAAGAACUUUGUUCUGAUUCAUUUCAACCUUUCUUUUUUUUUGGUUUUUCUGAGUUCUUGUUUUUUCUUUUUUUUUUUGGACAAAUUAUUUUUUGGACAAAAUGAGUUCUUGUUUCAUUUCGAGGUUGAGGCAGUAAACCUCUGUUUUUAUUUCACGCGCUGUUGUCGCGCGUGCUAUAUUGUUACAGGGACAGGAAAGUGAAUCUUUUUAAAACAGUCUUUUUUUUUUAACUAGGUUGCUAAUAAUUUGCCGUUCAAAAAAAAAAAAAAUAGGUUGCUAAAACAUCUGUUUCGAGUGGUAUUGUGGUAACUUGUUCUUUUUUUUAUAAACUCGGCUGAUCCGAUCGGCUCCGGAAGAAACGCAUUUAGUGUUACAGAGUGGACUAGCCCGAAAGCAUAUCACAUUGUCUGAUUUGAGUUUGUAAUACUUUCCGACUAAUGCCAUAAGUGGACCAAUCAUCUGUUAUGGUUCACCAUGUAAACAAUUUGGGUCGAAACUUAGACUCAAACUAGCUAAAGUAAUGAUAAUUUAGUUCUCUAAGGAUAGUUUUCAAAUUUGUAGUGUAUAAUAUUGUUCCCGUGAUACUGAAGACCUUUUUUGUUAGACUUUCAUUGGUUAGUUUGAUUUGGAGUGGUGGCAAAAUCUAUUUAUUUAUUUUUGUAAGUCUAAAACUUGCUUUCUUGAUUUAGGGUUCCAUUUGGAUGAUUCAGACGUUUCUUUGAAUGUCUGCUUGGGUAAACAAUUUUCUGGCGGGGAGCUGUGAGGUGUGAGAUGUGAUAAACCAUGUGAAUUCUGAAAGCGGUGAAAAUGUAUUUACUCAUGUUGUCUCAACCCACAAGAAUUUAUUCUUUUUGGUAAUCACCACAAGAAUGUUUCUCCAUGAUUAUAAUGCGAAAAGAAUCUGACGGUUGGUAGAUGCAACUCUUCUAAAGGUUUAAAGAGGAAUCGUAGGUUUUUUCCUUUUCUAUAUUUUAGUUGAAACCUUGUUAUAACAACAUUCUUCUAAUCGGUUAAAUUCGGUUUUAGAGACGCCUAUCCGGAUAUGAGGCUCACACUGGACAUAAACUAUUUUGUUAUGUUCAACACUUUAAGGUUACAAUUUUUUAGAUAAAAAGCAAGUAAAUGGAUUAAGUUAUCGUAAAUAUAUGAUAAUUUGCGAAGUUAUCGUACAAUUAGCAUAAUCAAGACAUAGAAAAUGAUAUAAUAUCACAAAAUAACUAGUCGUCAAAAUACGAUGCUUCAAUUCUAUUAGUUUAUAAUUGGCCAGCACAAAUUUAAGUGAUACGAGCCUAGAUAAGUAUAAGAUAAAUGCAUGGCUAUCAAUCACGUUUCUGGUAACAAAUCAAACCGCAUGGAUUUUGCAUUGGACAAUAAAAACCAAUUCAAUAACUUCCUCCUCACUUCCUAUUGAAUCGCUCUUUAGAACAAGUCAAUUGCUUGUUUUGUUCAUAUUAAAAAAUUGUUUGUAAACUAAAAAUAGAAUCAGCAUUCUCCCUUAGAUAUAGGAAUCAAUUCCCACCGUCUAUAUUCUCAUAUUUUGUUUGACUCAUUCACUAAAUCUUAAAUAACAAAAAAAAGAAAAAAAUUUCUCUAUAAAAGGAAUUGUGUUAGAUUUUCCUGAUCAUAAUUCACCAACUACUAAUUAAUCAGACAUGAAGAUCAUGCCGUUGAUGUCCAUCGUCUUCUUCAUACUCUUGAUAUCAUUUCUGGAUCCGAUCAAAGCUCAAGGUAUCGUUGGCUGCGACACUCAACUCGAUAAAUGCAUAACCGCGAUGAAUAAAAAUGAAUGGAGUCUCGUGCAAAAAGACUGUUGUCCCAGACUGAGAAAGACAGGCCCUCAACAAUGUAUGUGUUUGUUAUUUAAGUACCCUUCGCUUAAAGCACCUGCUAUGAGGCUUAUCAAAUAUUGUCAAGCUCCAACUCCCAAGUGCUAAGAGAUUAAUAUACAAUACAUUAACAACAUUGUUUCGACCGAGCUCGUGGACUAGUUGUGUUGUCAAAAGCAAUACACAUAAGGAUGUGGAUCUUGAAGCUAUAUGGUAAAAGCUCACCUUGAUUGUAACCAUGGAGAAUCUUAUCUUUUUCUUCAGUCUCACACUUAAGUGCAAUAGAAGUCUUUGAGAAUUUUUCCUCUAGCAUCCUCAACUGACUCUGUAUGUUCUCAGAGAUUAAGUUCAGACGCUGCACAAGCUUAUGAUCUUUCCUAGCCUCUUCUUCUGCAAACCUAGAAAUACUUUUGAGGUCACCCAUCUUCCGCAAGUACUCUCCUACAUAGUUAGCCCUAUAAUAAUCAUCAGCAUUGGCAAGCCAUGCGUAAAGACUCGAGUCAGCAGCACCACCACCACUACUCAGCCAAUCUUUUUUACCAUGGCCAUCUUCUUGAUAAGCCUUCUUGAACAGCAAAGCAUCGUUAAGUCCAUUCCAGUCUCUGUUAAACUCAACUAUCCCAGUUCCUGAAUGGCCGAAACAGUCCCACACGGUACGUACUCUAAUAGGGUUGAAUCCUCUUCUGAUCAGUUCAUCCUUAAGCUGUGGUCCACUCUCCCCAGUACAACACAGACCAUCAUGUCCCAUCUUUGUUGGUAUAUUAACCAAAAUACCUUAACCCCAACACACAGAUACAACUUCUAUUAGUAAUAUGCUAACAUGAAUGCCUUAGAGAUGAGGGCCUUACCUUUCCAAGGCCACACAAGUUUCUCGAACUGAUCAUCAUAAGCUAGAGGAAUAUCGCCAGUUAACGAUGCCAAGGCCUUUGAGCGCCUAGAGACUGUAGCCGUAGCGUAAUCCGCGAGAUCUUUACGAAGGUACUUGGCGAGAGCACGGUGGCAAGCCUUCUCCGUGAGACUUCGUUUCUUGGAGCUGCUGUUACCGACUCCAGAGGCGUGCUGAAGGAUGUCGAUGUAGAGACCAACCUUCUGCUUGGGGCAGU
This 3709-nucleotide long non-coding RNA is filed under the name Brassica napus (rape). Its description in RNAcentral is "long non-coding RNA (BNAP_LNC002099)". Lineage: Eukaryota; Viridiplantae; Streptophyta; Magnoliopsida; Brassicales; Brassicaceae. The record is from RNAcentral.